GCCUGGGUGGCUCAGUCGGUUGAGCGUCCGACUUCAGCUCGGGUCAUGAUCUUACCGUCUGUGAGUUCGAGCCCCACAUCGGGCU
RNAcentral lists this transfer RNA (85 nucleotides) under Felis catus (domestic cat). It matches the Rfam family "tRNA". Rfam says of the family: Transfer RNA (tRNA) molecules are approximately 80 nucleotides in length. The record is from Rfam by way of RNAcentral. Lineage: Eukaryota; Metazoa; Chordata; Mammalia; Carnivora; Felidae.